This 440-nucleotide ribosomal RNA is filed under the name uncultured bacterium. RNAcentral describes it as "partial 16S ribosomal RNA". It matches the Rfam family "Bacterial small subunit ribosomal RNA", at positions 338 to 795 of the family's 1533-position model. The record is from RNAcentral.
CCUACGGGAGGCAGCAGUGGGGAAUAUUGCACAAUGGGGGAAACCCUGAUGCAGCGACGCCGCGUGAGUGAAGAAGUAUUUCGGGAUGUAAAGCUCUAUCAGCAGGGAAGAAAAUGACGGUACCUGACUAAGAAGCCCCGGCUAACUACGUGCCAGCAGCCGCGGUAUUACGUAGGGGGCAAGCGUUAGCCGGAUUUACUGGGUGUAAAGUGAGCGGAGACGGCGCGGCAAGUCUGAAGUGAAAGGCAGGGGCUUAACCCGUGAACUGCUUUGGAUACUGCCAUGCUAGAGUGCUGGAGAGGGAAGUAGAAUUCCUAGUGUAGCGGUGAAAUGCGUAGAUAUUAGGAGGAAUACCAGUGGCGAAGGCGGCUCCCUGGACAGUAACUGACGUUGAGGCGCGAAAGCGUGGGGAGCAAACAGGAUUAGAUACCCGAGUAGUC